RNAcentral lists this long non-coding RNA (626 nucleotides) under Chinchilla lanigera (long-tailed chinchilla). Its description in RNAcentral is "lncRNA (ENSCLAG00000024890.1)". The record is from RNAcentral. Lineage: Eukaryota; Metazoa; Chordata; Mammalia; Rodentia; Chinchillidae.
GUGGUUUAACUUUCCCCUCUUCAGUUCUGCUUCCAACAACAGAGAAUAGCUUCUCCUAAUGUCCAUUUGGAGCUGUCCUUUCAUAGAUCUUCCAAAGUCUUCCUACUGCCUACCUGAGUGGUCUCUAAUAGAAUUCUCCUUGUUGUUUGACACUGUGAUCAACUCUUCCUUCUUACUGCCCUAUGCCGGUUAGUGUCUAUCAUAAACAUGAUGGGAAUAACAGAGUACUGGAGAUGUGAUUGGAUUCUGAGGAACUGACGUUAUAUUGAAACUGAAGUUAUAUUGAAAUACCGUAUCAUAGCUUUUUGUGAACCGAACAGAUGAUUGCUAUUGAUACUGCUUAAGAGAAUACAGCUAUCACUUCCUGGCCUUUUGGCGAAAUCAAGUGCUAAGACAACACAGCUCUAGAGGGAGAAGGACAAGAGAACCAUGCCUUCAUGGAAACAGCAGUGUGAACAACAUAAGAAACAGUCAGAAAUGAUUAAUGAAGGAAGGCGGUCAUGUAGCCUGCAAGGAGCAGUGCGGAAUGUGUUGGGUGCAAGGCAGAGGCUGGAAAGUGAAGGUGGAUCCAUUUUUCCACAAGAAUGAAAAAGGGGAAAGGGGAAUUAGAAAAAGGAAGGAGAGGG